This 483-nucleotide ribosomal RNA is filed under the name uncultured bacterium. RNAcentral's name for it is "partial 16S ribosomal RNA". It matches the Rfam family "Bacterial small subunit ribosomal RNA", at positions 30 to 506 of the family's 1533-position model. The record is from RNAcentral.
AUUGAACGCUGGCGGCAGGCCUAACACAUGCAAGUCGAGCGGAUGAAGGGAGCUUGCUCCUGGAUUCAGCGGCGGACGGGUGAGUAAUGCCUAGGAAUCUGCCUGGUAGUGGGGGAUAACGUCCGGAAACGGGCGCUAAUACCGCAUACGUCCUGAGGGAGAAAGUGGGGGAUCUUCGGACCUCACGCUAUCAGAUGAGCCUAGGUCGGAUUAGCUAGUUGGUGGGGUAAAGGCCUACCAAGGCGACGAUCCGUAACUGGUCUGAGAGGAUGAUCAGUCACACUGGAACUGAGACACGGUCCAGACUCCUACGGGAGGCAGCAGUGGGGAAUAUUGGACAAUGGGCGAAAGCCUGAUCCAGCCAUGCCGCGUGUGUGAAGAAGGUCUUCGGAUUGUAAAGCACUUUAAGUUGGGAGGAAGGGAAGUAAGUUAAUACCUUGCUGUUUGGACGUUACCAACAGAAUAAGCACCGGCGAACUGCGU